CCUACGGGUGGCAGCAGUGAGGAAUAUUGGUCAAUGGACGAGAGUCUGAACCAGCCAAGUAGCGUGAAGGAUGACUGCCCUAUGGGUUGUAAACUUCUUUUAUAAAGGAAUAAAACGAGGCACGUGUGCCUUUUUGCAUGUACUUUAUGAAUAAGGAUCGGCUAACUCCGUGCCAGCAGCCGCGGUAAUACGGAGGAUCCGAGCGUUAUCCGGAUUUAUUGGAUUUAAAGGGAGCGUAGAUGGGGUGUUAAGUCAGUUGUGAAAGUUUGCGGCUCAACCGUAAAAUUGCAAUUGAUACUGGCAGUCGUGAGUACAGUGGAGGUAGGCGGAAUUCGUGGUGUAGCGGUGAAAUGCUUAGAUAUCACGAAGAACCCCGAUUGCGAAGGCAGCUUACUAAACUGUGACUGACAUUGAUGCUCGAAAGUGUGGGUAUCAAACAGGAUUAGAUACCCGAGUAGUC
This 460-nucleotide ribosomal RNA is filed under the name uncultured bacterium. RNAcentral's name for it is "partial 16S ribosomal RNA". It matches the Rfam family "Bacterial small subunit ribosomal RNA", at positions 338 to 795 of the family's 1533-position model. The record is from RNAcentral.